GUCGCCUCCUAAAAGGUAACGGAGGCGCUCAAAGGUUCCCUCAGAAUGGUUGGAAAUCAUUCAUAGAGUGUAAAGGCAUAAGGGAGCUUGACUGCGAGACCUACAAGUCGAGCAGGGUCGAAAGACGGACUUAGUGAUCCGGUGGUUCCGCAUGGAAGGGCCAUCGCUCAACGGAUAAAAGCUACCCCGGGGAUAACAGGCUUAUCUCCCCCAAGAGUUCACAUCGACGGGGAGGUUUGGCACCUCGAUGUCGGCUCAUCGCAUCCUGGGGCUGUAGUCGGUCCCAAGGGUUGGGCUGUUCGCCCAUUAAAGCGGUACGCGAGCUGGGUUCAGAACGUCGUGAGACAGUUCGGUCCCUAUCCGUCGUGGGCGUAGGAAAUUUGAGAGGAGCUGUCCUUAGUACGAGAGGACCGGGAUGGACAUACCUCUGGUGUACCAGUUGUCGUGCCAACGGCAUAGCUGGGUAGCUAUGUGUGGACGGGAUAAGUGCUGAAAGCAUCUAAG
RNAcentral lists this ribosomal RNA (504 nucleotides) under Staphylococcus aureus. Its description in RNAcentral is "partial 23S ribosomal RNA". It matches the Rfam family "Bacterial large subunit ribosomal RNA", at positions 2282 to 2785 of the family's 2925-position model. The record is from RNAcentral. Lineage: Bacteria; Bacillati; Bacillota; Bacilli; Caryophanales; Staphylococcaceae.